GCCCAUGUGGUUUAGUGGUUUGAAUGUUGGACUACAACUCUGGGGACCAGGGUUGAUUCCCUGCUUGGUCA
Non-coding RNA from Phrynosoma platyrhinos (Desert horned lizard), 71 nucleotides. NCBI's taxonomy places the organism in Eukaryota, Metazoa, Chordata, Lepidosauria, Squamata, Phrynosomatidae. The record is from the annotation of a GenBank genome assembly.